Molecule: ribosomal RNA, 497 nt
Filed under: uncultured bacterium
Lineage: Bacteria
Description: partial 16S ribosomal RNA
Rfam family: Bacterial small subunit ribosomal RNA
Source: RNAcentral
GAUGAACGCUGGCGGCGUGCCUAAUACAUGCAAGUCGAGCGAACGGACGAGAAGCUUGCUUUUCUGAUGUUAGCGGCGGACGGGUGAGUAACACGUGGAUAACCUACCUAUAAGACUGGAAUAACUUCGGGAAACCGGAGCUAAUACCGGAUAAUAUUUUGAACCGCAUGGUUCAAAAGUGAAAGACGGUCUUGCUGUCACUUAUAGAUGGAUCCGCGCUGCAUUAGCUAGUUGGUAAGGUAACGGCCUACCAAGGCAACGAUGCAUAGCCGACCUGAGAGGGUGAUCGGCCACACUGGAACUGAGACACGGUCCAGACUCCUACGGGAGGCAGCAGUAGGGAAUCUUCCGCAAUGGGCGAAAGCCUGACGGAGCAACGCCGCGUGAGUGAUGAAGGUCUUCGGAUCGUAAAACUCUGUUAUUAGGGAAGAACAUAUGUGUAAGUAACUGUGCACAUCUUGACGGUACCUAAUCAGAAAGCCCCGGCUAACUACGUG